UGCGCAAAAUAUCUGGGAUUGUUGACUGAUACACACCUGUGAUACACACUACACACAGUGUUGACAAUUAAAGUUGAUAUUAAUUCUUGUUUUUCGGUUUCGUCCUGUGAUUCCAUUAUUCAUCAGUUUGAGAUAAAAAUGGGAAAAAAACGGAUAACUGAUAAACUCUUUGGAGUAAAAAUUAUCUCAUUGAAGACUUUCGACGAUUUCAGUUAACUUUGAACUAACAACGAAAAAAAGGGAUUUUGUCGGAUAUGUGAACAUGACUGAAUACGACUCGUGUAAGAGUUGAAUACAAGGAGAAAAGAAUUUCAAUUACACCGUCCGCUUUUCGAGACGGAUUUCACCUCCCAAGACGAUAGAAGAGUAAGACUGCAAAUGUCCGAUGGAGUCCAGAUCGAACUCGAGUUUGAUUCAUUUGAUGACAAAGAGCACUUUAAAACAUCUUUAGGGGAUCUAAAUCAUCAUCGGAGGAGAGCAACCCAGCAGAAGAUUAAAUUAAUUAAAUUAAAUUUUGUUUUGCGUGUUGUAAUAAUAAAUAAUUGAAAAUG
Long non-coding RNA from Tribolium madens (black flour beetle), 551 nucleotides. RefSeq lists it as uncharacterized. NCBI's taxonomy places the organism in Eukaryota, Metazoa, Arthropoda, Insecta, Coleoptera, Tenebrionidae. The record is from RefSeq and is a predicted model, not a curated record. The transcript has 3 exons.